RNAcentral lists this transfer RNA (73 nucleotides) under Aix galericulata (mandarin duck). RNAcentral's name for it is "tRNA-Asn". The record is from RNAcentral. Lineage: Eukaryota; Metazoa; Chordata; Aves; Anseriformes; Anatidae.
UAGGCAGAAGUCAGUAGGUUCAGGCAUUUAGCUGUUAACUAAAAUUUUACGGGAUCGAGGCCCGUCUGCCUAG